GACGAACGCUGGCGGCGUGCUUAACACAUGCAAGUCGAACGGAAAGGCCCUGCUUUUGUGGGGUGCUCGAGUGGCGAACGGGUGAGUAACACGUGAGUAACCUGCCCUUGACUUUGGGAUAACUUCAGGAAACUGGGGCUAAUACCGGAUAGGAGCUCCUGCUGCAUGGUGGGGGUUGGAAAGUUUCGGCGGUUGGGGAUGGACUCGCGGCUUAUCAGCUUGUUGGUGGGGUAGUGGCUUACCAAGGCUUUGACGGGUAGCCGGCCUUGGAGGGUGACCGGCCCCAUUGGGCCUGAGAGACGGCCCAGACUCCUACGGGAGGCAGCAGUGGGGAAUAUUGCACAAUGGGCGGACGCCUGAUGCAGCAACGCCGCGUGCGGGAUGACGGCCUUCGGGUUGUAAACCGCUUUCGCCUGUGCCGAAGCGUGAGUGACGGUACUGGGUAAAGAAGCACCGGCUAACUACGUG
RNAcentral lists this ribosomal RNA (468 nucleotides) under uncultured bacterium. Its description in RNAcentral is "partial 16S ribosomal RNA". It matches the Rfam family "Bacterial small subunit ribosomal RNA", at positions 28 to 507 of the family's 1533-position model. The record is from RNAcentral.